UACGUAGGGUGCGAGCGUUAAUCGGAAUUACUGGGCGUAAAGCGUGCGCAGGCGGUUAUUUAAGUCAGGUGUGAAAGCCCUGGGCUUAACCUAGGAAUUGCGCUUGAGACUGGAUAGCUUGGAGUGCGGCAGAGGGAGGUGGAAUUCCACGUGUAGCAGUGAAAUGCGUAGAUAUCAGGAGGAAUACCGAUGGCGAAGGCAGGUCUCUGGGCUAACACUGACGCUCAUGCACGAAAGCGUGGGGAGCAAACAGG
Molecule: ribosomal RNA, 254 nt
Filed under: uncultured bacterium
Lineage: Bacteria
Description: partial 16S ribosomal RNA
Rfam family: Bacterial small subunit ribosomal RNA
Source: RNAcentral